This 474-nucleotide ribosomal RNA is filed under the name Geobacillus sp. N-18-55-8. RNAcentral's name for it is "bacterial SSU rRNA". It matches the Rfam family "Bacterial small subunit ribosomal RNA", at positions 8 to 469 of the family's 1533-position model. Lineage: Bacteria; Bacillati; Bacillota; Bacilli; Caryophanales; Anoxybacillaceae. The record is from RNAcentral.
AGAGUUUGAUCAUGGCUCAGGACGAACGCUGGCGGCGUGCCUAAUACAUGCAAGUCGAGCGGACCGGGCGGGAGCACGCUUCCGCAUGGUUAGCGGCGGAUGGGUGAGUAACACGUGGGUAACCUGCCCGUAAGACCGGGAUAACUCCGGGAAACCGGGGCUAAUACCGGAUAACACCGAAGACCGCAUGGUCUUCGGUUGAAAGGCGGCUUCGGCUGCCACUUACGGAUGGGCCCGCGGCGCAUUAGCUAGUUGGUGAGGUAACGGCUCACCAAGGCGACGAUGNCGUAGCCGGCCUGAGAGGGUGACCGGCCACACUGGGACUGAGACACGGCCCAGACUCCUACGGGAGGCAGCAGUAGGGAAUCUUCCGCAAUGGACGAAAGUCUGACGGAGCGACGCCGCGUGAGCGAAGAAGGUCUUCGGAUCGUAAAGCUCNGUUGUUAGGGAAGAAGAAGUGCCGUUCGAACAGGG